RNAcentral lists this long non-coding RNA (1274 nucleotides) under Zonotrichia albicollis (white-throated sparrow). RNAcentral describes it as "lncRNA (ENSZALG00000007355.1)". The record is from RNAcentral. Lineage: Eukaryota; Metazoa; Chordata; Aves; Passeriformes; Passerellidae.
UUUGUGGUGUUCCUAAUUUACUGUUCAGCACUCCUGACUGACAUGUCUUGCUUAACGCCCAGGCAGCCCCAUGGGCAGUCAGGGGUGUUCCCAGCUGGGAUCCUGCCCUCUUGGAGAAGCUCCUUCUGCCAACUCCCUCCUACCCAGGAGGAGACACCAAAGCACUGUGUCCCUGCCAGGAGACAAGCAGAGUGCUGGUGGGAUUUCCGAGGGGCACAGCUCUCCAGCUCAUCCAGCAGUGCAGAAGGGGGACAUUGGGCACAUGGGAACUGCAGGCCACCUGGUCCUGAGGCCAAACUUGUGAAUUCGUGUUCCACAACUUCCCCCGCUUCUCUCCACCUCCACACAACUCUGCUCUCUCACUGAUCACCUGCGUAAUUAAUGAAGAAAAGAGAAUUCACCUUGUCCAAACACCAAUCCAUGAAGGAAAGACCUUGCUGACGGAAGCAGUUUCUCUGCAGAGAUGUUCUACUGGCAUAGAGCUGGCAAAACUAUAUUAAAUUUUAACAGAAAGCUUAGAAGUUGCCUACAGCAAACCUUGGCCACAGGUCCACCACAGAUUUCAGUCUUAGAUACUCAUAUUUUGUAUUUCAAAACAGAACUUUAAUCCUCACAGCCUACAUCAACUAACCUUGGGAAUGCCAAGGUUUUUAUCACAAAAGCUUAGGAGGUCCCAAAAUUUUCUCAUCCAGAAGGCAUGUCCAGAAACAUCCCAAUUCCAGCAAGUUGGGAAAUGCCCAUCUUUGAGGCCUGAGCUUCAUUAGGAACUGCAAAGACUUACUCCCUCCAACAUUUUGCCCAAGGAUAUCCAUCCUACAGGCAAGCAGUACUUUUACCUAGAGAGGUUCAGUGCAAAAAUGCAUCAGCAAAGACCUUCUUCCAAAUCAGUUGUCAUCAUCACUGUGACUAAUCCUGCAUUCUUCCAUCUCAGCUAGUAUGUACAGAAAUCAGAAACCUAUUUCAGGAAAGUGCACUGAACAUAAAAGGUGGGGCAAGAACCCAAUGACCAGAUAUUGCAAUUACUCACAUGCUGGCGGGUAAGGUCCCCUUACUAACCCACACCUAGCUUCACUUGCAGCUCAUUCUGUGUCUGGAGUGAAGGAAGGGGAACAAUUAUACUAUCUCAAAUCAUCAUGAUUGUUUCAAUGAUUGCAUUAGCAUUCUCAAAGCAUAAACCGCCCACAAAACAUUUGAGGCAGACAUCUAAUGAUGGAUUUUCCCAACAGAGAAAGCAAUUCCUCUAAGCAAUAAAACAGUCUGUGAGAAAUCCUGCA